CCUACGGUGGGCAGCAGUGAGGAAUAUUGGUCAAUGGACGAGAGUCUGAACCAGCCAAGUAGCGUGAAGGAUGACUGCCCUAUGGGUUGUAAACUUCUUUUAUAAGGGAAUAAAACGAGGCACGUGUGGCUUUUUGCAUGUACUUUAUGAAUAAGGAUCGGCUAACUCCGUGCCAGCAGCCGCGGUAAUACGGAGGAUCCGAGCGUUAUCCGGAUUUAUUGGGUUUAAAGGGAGCGUAGGGGGGUAGUUAAGUCAGUUGUGAAAGUUUGCGGCUCAACCGUAAAAUUGCAGUUGAUACUGGCAGUCUUGAGUACAGUAGAGGUAGGCGGAAUUCGUGGUGUAGCGGUGAAAUGCUUAGAUAUCACGAAGAACCCCGAUUGCGAAGGCAGCUUACUGGACUGUAACUGACAUUGAUGCUCGAAAGUGUGGGUAUCAAACAGGAUUAGAUACCCUAGUAGUC
Molecule: ribosomal RNA, 460 nt
Filed under: uncultured bacterium
Lineage: Bacteria
Description: partial 16S ribosomal RNA
Rfam family: Bacterial small subunit ribosomal RNA
Source: RNAcentral